GUUGGAUGAGUGACGCCCGUUUUCUGAAUUCAACUUCUGCUGAUACUUUUAGAAACCCUAACUUUUAAUCUGAUCGUAACAAUUUUAUGAAACUUUAGAAGUUACCAAUGACCUGAGGGAAGAAAGUUCAACAGCAUUUAAGCAAGUCCACCGUUCUUCAGUAAAGGCACUCUGUAUGCAUUAUUAAAUACUAAACUUGAGCAAGUUUGUAAUGAAGAAGAUGUAGUUGCCAGAAGAGAUGACAACGAUGAGGACGACGGCAAUAUUAUGUGAAUGCGUUUGAUUUGUAGCACAUCCUCUUUAUUGGUUCUGAUACAACUUUCUACUCAGCAAAUGGUUCCAAUUUGACAGAACGGCUAUGAAUUUCCUCUGUCAAGGCUUGAUUCAGAGACAGUGUAGCCAUCUGCUUUUCGGAAUAUCCUAGAUUUUUAAGUGUGCACUAUGGAGUUUUUGUACACUGGUCCUCUUGUUUGUUAUUUAUAUUUGUUUGACAUUUUUAAAAAUCAAUUGAACUUGCCAAAUACUGAAUAGAUGAUAUGGAACUUGAUCUUUUAUUAACUGUACUUACAGAAAUAGUAUAGAAUUGUCAGCACUUGACUCUAACUUGAUUUUGAUUUACUUUUUUUUUAUAUUGAUUAUUGUAAAUCCUUUUGUCCUAUAUUGAAAUGGAGCUUAUGCUAAACUACAGUAUAGCAAAGUACAGUACAGGACGCAUUAAACAUUAAAGGGUAAACACAUAACGCUACAUAAGUGUAAGUAACUUUGUAUUGUUGUCCUCUUCUGUCCCGGAGCAUCAAAGUUAACACGAUGUAGUU
RNAcentral lists this long non-coding RNA (815 nucleotides) under Anneissia japonica. RNAcentral's name for it is "uncharacterized LOC117125471". The record is from RNAcentral. Lineage: Eukaryota; Metazoa; Echinodermata; Crinoidea; Comatulida; Comatulidae.